ACUAACAUAAAAGCAUGGCAAAUGACCAUACAGCUACUUUGUUUGUCUAUGUUAAUGUGAAUUGAUCGUUUUGGCAACUAUGGCAGUUCUUUACCUACCAAUGCUUUAAUGAAAAUCCUCUAACUUAGUUACUGAUUUUGGCUAUGUGCUUGUCUCUGCAGGUUUGUCUUCACCCAUAAGAAGCAGUCUGGUGGUUCUGGGCAGUACGGUAAAGUGAUAGGAUUUCUUGAACCUCUGGACCAAGAAAACUACGCAAAAGUAGAGUUUGAAGACCAGACUGUUGGAACCAACAUCCCCAAACAGUUUGUGCCGGCUGUUGAGAAGGUGUGCAUGCCUGGCUGUAGUCUGAAUCACAUAGGCCCUUCAUGAUUCAGAAAGGCCCUCUUGACUGGUCACAAGAUCUCGGGCUCUUAAACAAGCCAUGGAGAAGGCCAACGUUGCCGUGCUGGAGCCAAUCAUGUCAGUAGAAAUUGUGGCGCCCGAUGAGUUCCAAGGGACAGUCAUCGCCGGGGUCAACCAUCGCCAUGGGGUUAUCAGUGGGCAGGUUGGGGCAGAGGGCUACUUUACGCUGUGUGCUGAUAUUCCACUGAAUGACAUGUUUGGUUACGCCACAGAGCUCCAGUCCUGUAAGGCGCUGGCUCCUCUAGUCGGAUGUCAAGAAGUCAUAAAAAUGGCCAAGAUAUCAAGCCAUGCACUCUCAGUGAUAUUGAAUUGAGUUUGUAUUUGCUAUUUUUUUCUGUUAAUUUAUUUGGACUAAAGUUGUUGCUCAGUCUAUGAUCCUUUCUGGAGAACUGAUGUGGGGGGAGUGUUGUGUCCAGGGGAAAGGAGAGUACACCCUGGUGUAUAGCAGAUACCAGCCAUGGCUGCCUGGCACUCAGGAGGAGCUCAUCAACAGGACAGCUGCCUGCCAAGAAGGGGAAGUGGAAGAACUGAGGCUGGACAACACACACAAUCAAUGAAUUGUAAACACAUUACAGAGGGUUUGAAUGGAGCUGAAGGUUGGGACUAAUAACAAUAUAACUCAUGUAAAACUUACGGUGUGGAUAAAACGUAUAUAGGUUAAGAACUUUUGUGAAAGAGCACAGUUUGAAAGAAAUGGCAAAUAAAAAUCUAACCGGAUGGACAUCAGAAAUAGAUGGGGGAGGUUGAGGGUAGAGGAAGGACAGGAGUAAAAACAAACUAAAUAGAACUAUUGUAAAAAUAGACUGUGUCCAUAAAAUGUAUAUAGUACUACUCAUUCAAGGGUUUUAUUUUUACUAUAUUGUGGAAUAAUAGUGAAG
Molecule: long non-coding RNA, 1280 nt
Organism: Oncorhynchus kisutch (coho salmon)
Lineage: Eukaryota; Metazoa; Chordata; Actinopteri; Salmoniformes; Salmonidae
Exons: 4
Source: RefSeq, a predicted model, not a curated record